Molecule: long non-coding RNA, 206 nt
Filed under: Elaeis guineensis (African oil palm)
Lineage: Eukaryota; Viridiplantae; Streptophyta; Magnoliopsida; Arecales; Arecaceae
Description: long non-coding RNA (EGUI_LNC057801)
Source: RNAcentral
UGAUAUCCAUAUGGAGAUGUCUGAUCAAAGCACCAAGAUCAUCAGUAUGCUAGCACCUUGUAGUUCUCGCUCUUCAAUCUUGGAUCUAGAUCUCUUCUUCCAGAUAUUGAAGAAGGAGAUUGCUGUGUGAACUCUUUCGCACAGAUCCGAUGGGAUAUGAACCAGAUCAUCGUGAAGAGAAGAAGAACCCUUUUUCUACUCUUCUU